GAUGAACGCUAGCUACAGGCUUAACACAUGCAAGUCGAGGGGCAGCAUUUAUAUCCGCUUGCGGUUAUAAGAUGGCGACCGGCGCACGGGUGAGUAACGCGUAUCCAACCUACCCCAUACUCGGGUCCAGCCCUCCGAAAGGAGGAUUAAUCCCCGAUAUUGUUCUUUGCGGGCAUCUAAUGAGAACCAAAGGUAUUCCGGUAUGGGAUGGGGAUGCGUCUGAUUAGGAAGUAGGCGGGGUAACGGCCCACCUAUCCAUCGAUCAGUAGGGGUUCUGAGAGGAAGGUCCCCCACACUGGAACUGAGACACGGUCCAGACUCCUACGGGAGGCAGCAGUGAGGAAUAUUGGUCAAUGGUCGUAAGACUGAACCAGCCAAGUAGCGUGCAGGAUGACGGCCCUAUGGGUUGUAAACUGCUUUUAUGCGGGGAUAAAAUGCGUCACGUGUGAUGUUUUGUAGGUACCGCAUGAAUAAGGACCGGCUAAUUCCGUGCCAGCAGCCGCGGUAAUACGGAAGGUCCGGGCGUUAUCCGGAUUUAUUGGGUUUAAAGGGAGCGUAGGCCGCAUGUUAAGCGUGCCGUGAAAUGCCGUGGCUCAACCAUGGCACUGCGGCGCGAACUGGCUUGCUUGAGUGCGCGGAACGUAUGCGGAAUUCGUGGUGUAGCGGUGAAAUGCUUAGAUAUCACGAAGAACUCCGAUUGCGAAGGCAGCAUACGGCAGCGCUACUGACGCUGAAGCUCGAAGGCGCGGGUAUCGAACAGGAUUAGAUACCCUGGUAGUCCGCGCGGUAAACGAUGGAUGCCCGCUGUUGGCGAUAUAAUGUCAGCGGCCAAGCGAAAGCGUUAAGCAUCCCACCUGGGGAGUACGCCGGCAACGGUGAAACUCAAAGGAAUUGACGGGGGCCCGCACAAGCGGAGGAACAUGUGGUUUAAUUCGAUGAUACGCGAGGAACCUUACCCGGGCUUGAACUGCAGCAGACGGAUCCAGAGAUGGUGACUCCCUUCGGGGCUGCUGUGGAGGUGCUGCAUGGUUGUCGUCAGCUCGUGCCGUGAGGUGUCGGCUUAAGUGCCAUAACGAGCGCAACCCCUGUUCUCAGUUGCCAUCGGUUUUAGCCGGGCACUCUGUGAAGACUGCCUCCGUAAGGAGUGAGGAGGGUGGGGAUGACGUCAAAUCAGCACGGCCCUUACGUCCGGGGCUACACACGUGUUACAAUGGGUGAUACAGAGAGUCGGGGUCCGGCAACGUACCUCUAAUCUAUAAAGUCAUCCUCAGUUCGGACUGGGGUCUGCAACCCGACCCCACGAAGCUGGAUUCGCUAGUAAUCGCGCAUCAGCCAUGGCGCGGUGAAUACGUUCCCGGGCCUUGUACACACCGCCCGUCAAGCCAUGAAAGCCGGGGGCGCCUGAAGUCCGUGACCGCGAGGGUCGGCCUAGGGUGAAACCGGUGAUUGGGGCUAAGUCGUAACAAGGUAGCCGUACCGGAAGGUGCGGCUGGAACACCUCCUUUCUGGAGUGACGUUUCCGUUAUUAUGUCAUUGUUGAUGACAUUCUGUUUCGGUUCGUGUGCCUAUCCGCCUCAUAUCCAUACAUAUGUGUUUAUGAAGGUCUUCUUGUACGUGCUCCUGUCUGUUCUAUUAUAUACGGGAGAAAUCCCACGGGACGGAACGUUUUUGCUUACGUGCAUAUGUUCCUGUUCUUUGCGGGGGAUUAGCUCAGCUGGCUAGAGCACCUGCUUUGCAAGCAGGGGGUCAACGGUUCGAAUCCGUUAUUCUCCACUCCGCUCCGCGCAUUUCUGUCAGAAGACAGUCUGCGCAUGAAAAGGAGCCAUCGUUCUUUGACAUAUUGACACACAAGACAGUAAAGAAACUCAAACAAAACGUCCGGGACGUUUUUCAAAUAAAUCCCGGGCGCCACAGUUAUAAAGUAUGAGCGUCUGCCGAUGUUUCUUAUAUAUAUUAUAUUUAAGAUUCAUUGGUCAGAAUAAAUAGGAAAAGCAAGUCAGGGCGCAUGGUGGAUGCCUUGGCUCACGGAGGCGAUGAAGGACGUGAUAAGCUGCGAUAAGCUCCGGUGAGGUGCAAAUGACCUUUGACCCGGAGAUUUCCGAAUGGGACAACCCAACAGUCUGAAGGACUGUUAUCUCCGCCAAUGCGGAGAAGCUAACCCGGGGAACUGAAACAUCUUAGUACCCGGAGGAAGAGAAAACAAUAGUGAUUCCCCCAGUAGUGGCGAGCGACCGGGGAACAGCCCAAACCAGUCUUGUAGCAAUGCUUGACUGGGGUUGUAGGACCACGCCGUGGUAUCUUAAUUGCGAGCGGAACAUUCUGGAAAGAAUGUCCAUAGAGGGUGACAGACCCGUACGCGAAGCGAGCGAGAGCCUAGUGGUAUCCUGAGUAACGCGGGACACGAGUAAUCCUGCGCGAAUCUGCCGGGCCCAUCCGGUAAGGCUAAAUACUCCCGUGAGACCGAUAGUGAACC
This 2473-nucleotide ribosomal RNA is filed under the name uncultured Prevotella sp. RNAcentral describes it as "partial contains 16S ribosomal RNA, 16S-23S ribosomal RNA intergenic spacer, and 23S ribosomal RNA". The stretch from base 1 to 1505 matches the Rfam family "Bacterial small subunit ribosomal RNA". Lineage: Bacteria; Pseudomonadati; Bacteroidota; Bacteroidia; Bacteroidales; Prevotellaceae. The record is from RNAcentral.